Molecule: unclassified non-coding RNA, 347 nt
Filed under: uncultured fungus
Lineage: Eukaryota; Fungi
Description: sequence contains ITS1
Rfam family: 5.8S ribosomal RNA (bases 1-105)
Source: RNAcentral
AAAAUGCGAUACAUAAUGUGAAUUGCAGAACUCCGUGAAUCAUCAAAUUUUUGAACGCAUAUUGCGCUCGAGGUCUAGGCCAAGAGCAUGUCUGCCUCAGCGUCGGGUACCAAUCACCAUGAACUUCAUGUGUGGAUGUGGCUCUCCAUUAUUCUACAUAAUGGUUUGCUCAAAUAUAUAUUGCCAAUGAUUAUCAACGUUCAACUUUGAUUUUCAAGAGCCUAUGUAAGCAAUCUUGCAUUUCUUGCAUACUUGAAAAUCAAUCUGAAUGUAUUUAACCAUUGACUUUCUGAAACACUUUACUUCACCUCGACCUGAGCUCAGGCAAGAUAACCCGCUGAACUUAA